This 497-nucleotide ribosomal RNA is filed under the name uncultured bacterium. Its description in RNAcentral is "partial 16S ribosomal RNA". It matches the Rfam family "Bacterial small subunit ribosomal RNA", at positions 28 to 507 of the family's 1533-position model. The record is from RNAcentral.
GAUGAACGCUGGCGGCGUGCCUAAUACAUGCAAGUCGAGCGAACGGACGAGAAGCUUGCUUCUCUGAUGUUAGCGGCGGACAGGUGAGUAACACGUGGAUAACCUACCUAUAAGACUGGGAUAACUUCGGGAAAACGUAGCUAUAAUCGGAUUAUAUUUUGAACCGCAUGGUUCAAAAGUGAAAGACGGUCUUGCUGUCACUUAUAUAUGGAUCCGCGCUGCAUUAGCUAGUUGGUAAGGUAACGGCUUACCAAGGCAACGAUGCAUAGCCGACCUGAGAGGGUGAUCGGCCACACUGGAACUGAGACACGGUCCAGACUCCUACGGGAGGCAGCAGUAGGGAAUCUUCCGCAAUGGGCGAAAGCCUGACGGAGCAACGCCGCGUGAGUGAUGAAGGUCUUCGGAUCGUAAAACUCUGUUAUUAGGGAAGAACAUAUGUGUAAGUAACUGUGCACAUCUUGACGGUACCUAAUCAGAUAGCCACGGCUAACUACGUG